RNAcentral lists this ribosomal RNA (1407 nucleotides) under Serratia marcescens. RNAcentral's name for it is "bacterial SSU rRNA". It matches the Rfam family "Bacterial small subunit ribosomal RNA". The record is from RNAcentral. Lineage: Bacteria; Pseudomonadati; Pseudomonadota; Gammaproteobacteria; Enterobacterales; Yersiniaceae.
UGCUGUCGAGCGGUAGCACAGGGGAGCUUGCUCCCUGGGUGACGAGCGGCGGACGGGUGAGUAAUGUCUGGGAAACUGCCUGAUGGAGGGGGAUAACUACUGGAAACGGUAGCUAAUACCGCAUAACGUCGCAAGACCAAAGAGGGGGACCUUCGGGCCUCUUGCCAUCAGAUGUGCCCAGAUGGGAUUAGCUAGUAGGUGGGGUAAUGGCUCACCUAGGCGACGAUCCCUAGCUGGUCUGAGAGGAUGACCAGCCACACUGGAACUGAGACACGGUCCAGACUCCUACGGGAGGCAGCAGUGGGGAAUAUUGCACAAUGGGCGCAAGCCUGAUGCAGCCAUGCCGCGUGUGUGAAGAAGGCCUUCGGGUUGUAAAGCACUUUCAGCGAGGAGGAAGGUGGUGAGCUUAAUACGCUCAUCAAUUGACGUUACUCGCAGAAGAAGCACCGGCUAACUCCGUGCCAGCAGCCGCGGUAAUACGGAGGGUGCAAGCGUUAAUCGGAAUUACUGGGCGUAAAGCGCACGCAGGCGGUUUGUUAAGUCAGAUGUGAAAUCCCCGGGCUCAACCUGGGAACUGCAUUUGAAACUGGCAAGCUAGAGUCUCGUAGAGGGGGGUAGAAUUCCGGGUGUAGCGGUGAAAUGCGUAGAGAUCUGGAGGAGAUACCGGUGGCGAAGGCGGCCCCCUGGACGAAGACUGACGCUCAGGUGCGAAAGCGUGGGGAGCAAACAGGAUUAGAUACCCCUGGUAGUCCACGCUGUAAACGAUGUCGAUUUGGAGGUUGUGCCCUUGAGGCGUGGCUUCCGGAGCUAACGCGUUAAAUCGACCGCCUGGGGAGUACGGCCGCAAGGUUAAAACUCAAAUGAAUUGACGGGGGCCCGCACAAGCGGUGGAGCAUGUGGUUUAAUUCGAUGCAACGCGAAGAACCUUACCUACUCUUGACAUCCAGAGAACUUUCCAGAGAUGGAUUGGUGCCUUCGGGAACUCUGAGACAGGUGCUGCAUGGCUGUCGUCAGCUCGUGUUGUGAAAUGUUGGGUUAAGUCCCGCAACGAGCGCAACCCUUAUCCUUUGUUGCCAGCGGUUCGGCCGGGAACUCAAAGGAGACUGCCAGUGAUAAACUGGAGGAAGGUGGGGAUGACGUCAAGUCAUCAUGGCCCUUACGAGUAGGGCUACACACGUGCUACAAUGGCGUAUACAAAGAGAAGCGACCUCGCGAGAGCAAGCGGACCUCAUAAAGUACGUCGUAGUCCGGAUUGGAGUCUGCAACUCGACUCCAUGAAGUCGGAAUCGCUAGUAAUCGUAGAUCAGAAUGCUACGGUGAAUACGUUCCCGGGCCUUGUACACACCGCCCGUCACACCAUGGGAGUGGGUUGCAAAAGAAGUAGGUAGCUUAACCUUCGGGAGUGCG